This 347-nucleotide long non-coding RNA is filed under the name Lactuca sativa (garden lettuce). RNAcentral describes it as "long non-coding RNA (LSAT_LNC010176)". The record is from RNAcentral. Lineage: Eukaryota; Viridiplantae; Streptophyta; Magnoliopsida; Asterales; Asteraceae.
UGAAGUCUCAUGAAACCUCUUGCUAAGCGCAAGAGAAACAAACGAUCGGGAUGCACCCGAGUCGAACAAUACCUAAACUGGGAUGCCGUUCACAUGGAACGAUCCUAAUGCAUACAUAUACAUACGGAGCACAUAUCAAUAUCAUAACAUCAUAAAAAAAAAGAUAGAGGGAAAGAAUCAUACCCGUCACCACAUCGGGUGCGGCGCGUGCCUCCUCGGUAGUCAACUGGAAUGCUCGGCUCCUCACCAUCGGAGCCUCUGCCUUGCCCUGCCGGCCAUCCGUGAUCCGCAGGGUCGCUGGAGCUGGCGCCUUCACCGGCGCUGAAACUGUCAACUGGGCGCAAUUG